This 460-nucleotide ribosomal RNA is filed under the name uncultured bacterium. RNAcentral's name for it is "partial 16S ribosomal RNA". It matches the Rfam family "Bacterial small subunit ribosomal RNA", at positions 338 to 795 of the family's 1533-position model. The record is from RNAcentral.
CCUACGGGAGACUGCAGUGAGGAAUAUUGGUCAAUGGGCGGAAGCCUGAACCAGCCAAGUAGCGUGCAGGAUGACGGCCCUACGGGUUGUAAACUGCUUUUAUACGGGAAUAACGCGCCUUACGUGUAGGGCUUUGCAUGUACCGUAUGAAUAAGGACCGGCUAAUUCCGUGCCAGCAGCCGCGGUAAUACGGAAGGUCCGGGCGUUAUCCGGAUUUAUUGGGUUUAAAGGGAGCGUAGGCCGCAUGUCAAGCGUGGUGUGAAAUGUCCGGGCUCAACCCGGGCCUUGCAGGGGGAACUGGAGUGCUUGAGUGCGCGGAAAGCAUGCGGAAUGCGUGGUGUAGCGGUGAAAUGCUUAGAUAUGACGAAGAACCCCGAUUGCGAAGGCAGCUUGCUGCAGCGGAACUGACGCUGAUGCUCGAAAGCGCGGGUAUCGAACAGGAUUAGAUACCCCAGUAGUC